GAUGAACGCUGGCGGCGUGCCUAAUACAUGCAAGUCGAACGCACAGCGAAAGGUGCUUGCACCUUUCAAGUGAGUGGCGAACGGGUGAGUAACACGUGGACAACCUGCCUCAAGGCUGGGGAUAACAUUUGGAAACAGAUGCUAAUACCGAAUAAAACUUAGUGUCGCAUGACACAAAGUUAAAAGGCGCUUCGGCGUCACCUAGAGAUGGAUCCGCGGUGCAUUAGUUAGUUGGUGGGGUAAAGGCCUACCAAGACAAUGAUGCAUAGCCGAGUUGAGAGACUGAUCGGCCACACUGGAACUGAGACACGGCCCAGACUCCUACGGGAGGCUGCAGUAGGGAAUCUUCCACAAUGGGCGAAAGCCUGAUGGAGCAACGCCGCGUGUGUGAUGAAGGCUUUCGGGUUGUAAAGCACUGUUGUAUGGGAAGAACAGCUAGAAUAGGAAAUGAUUCUAGUUUGACGGUACCAAACCAGAAAGGGACGGCUAAAUACGUG
Molecule: ribosomal RNA, 497 nt
Filed under: uncultured bacterium
Lineage: Bacteria
Description: partial 16S ribosomal RNA
Rfam family: Bacterial small subunit ribosomal RNA
Source: RNAcentral